UCACCCAGAGAAACAAAUUAGCUUUAAAGUUUAUUGUGUGGGAGUCCCACACCAUAUACACUUUGUGAGGCUUGUCCUGGUUAUUUACAACAGUCAGUGUUAUUAAAUCUACAACAUUUUUAAGACACAAACCUGUCUUUUUUUUGGGGGGGGGGACUUGAAAAAUGACAAACCUGGUCUUUUGGAGCGUCCAUUAGAGCAAUGAAUGGCUAAGCUGUGUGGAGAGGACACGUUAACUAUGCAAUGUUUAUGGAUUCUGCUCACCAUCAUGGCGACCAAACCAGCGCGUGGCAGAAUACGGAAGUGGAUGGUGAGUUGAUCGGUCGUUUUAAAUUCUAGUGUCCUUGAUUAGCAUGUGUACAUCCGGGAACUUCAGUCUAAGCUAAUUCACGUCCCCAAAGUGGCUGCUGCAAAGAGAGGACUAUACUUUGUUUGAAAGUUGUUGUUUGUUGUUUUAUUUAAGAGAACACAUAAAUGACAACGACCAGUGGCCGUAACGCAGCGACUGUGCACCUAUGGAGCAGGGUUUUGGGCUGGCUCCAUCACCACCACAGACGGCCAACUACUACUGAGACUGAGUCAACAGCGCCUCUGCUGGUCACAGCCAUUUUAUCAGCACUGUUUUAAGCUGGAGUCACUGACACGCCGCUGACUCCGACUGCACACUCAAUUAGCCACCAACCUUCCCCGGGCCGGCACAAGGAGACGAGGGUUCAUCCGAGCGUUCCAUCCUACGGCGGCCAGAGGAGUAGGAAGCCAUACGCAGACUGGAGGAUAGCUGGUGGAAUUCCGCGUUGUGGUGUCUGAGGGUUGGCUGCGUUGGUCUGCAUCCUUCAGUCUUCGGGACGCUGAGGUAAUCUUUGUCAGUAAAAAUGUUGAUUGGAUGUAUGAUGCUAGCAAACAAACAAAAUCAAAGACACACAGUAAGCCCCCCCAGUCCCCCACCUUAUCCUGCCUCUUUACACUUCACCCAUCUGUGGGGGGCAAUUAAGUUUCCAGCCCUACCCCUCCCAUCCUCGCUCUCACACGCAACGAUAAACGACCUCCACCCCUGGGUGCAUCUGCACCCCUCACGCCACUAUCCUGCCCCACAAUGCACCCCCCCACCUCCAUAGCAC
Molecule: long non-coding RNA, 1118 nt
Organism: Dunckerocampus dactyliophorus (ringed pipefish)
Lineage: Eukaryota; Metazoa; Chordata; Actinopteri; Syngnathiformes; Syngnathidae
Exons: 5
Source: RefSeq, a predicted model, not a curated record